UUCCAUCUUCUUUCAAGAAGAGAAUUGUUCUCGUUGCAUAAGUCUUUGCAGCUGUAGUAUUUAUCCUCCUCAGGUAUGGCAUCAGGCUGUCGUGGUGAUCUAGUAUGUACAGCUUAUUGUUCCUGAUUGCCUAUAUAUAUAACCACCCCAAUUACUUAAGUUAAUAUUUGAUAUUAAUCAUCCAUGCAGUCAAGUUUGAUUUAGUUUUACCUCAGCAACAGUCAAGCCUUCUAGAUUGUGUAGUAUAUGCUUUCUGAUAUUUUACUGGAUUGCCUUCCAUAUAGCUCUGGAUUUAGUUUGCUUGUUGGCGGGAAUUCCUGUGAGUAGAAAAGUAUUAACAAUCGAACACUUUGACCUCAUAUGACAAAUAAAUAAUAUGAACACUAUUCUUGGUUUUUCUUUUUUCAUUUUCUAGAGCGUUAUUAGCACAUGAAAGUUAUUCAGCAAAUUCUGUGUUUUGUAUUUGAUUCUGUUUUGUUUACUCAAAGCUAAAAAUUAGCGGCUUUAUAUCUGAUACCCCCUUCUCAUAGGAAAAAAGAUAAAGAGCAGAAAAUUUUAUUUACUUGGAGGCAUUGGAUAAUGACAGGAUUGAUUCCAGCCAGCAUUUCUCUACCGAAUUCUUCAUCAGAUCGCCAGGCAUCUUUAUCUUCUGCUCCACGAAGAAAAUAACAAAUUAGUUUAAGUAAAAGGUUAGCUCUCUUCAUUUCUUAAAUUAAUACAUGUCAAAGUCAACAAAUUCAGUAUAAUGUUUCCGCUAAGUUACCUUUGAUGACAUGUGGCAGCGGAAAAUUGUAUGUUUUCUCUCCAUCUGAUCUGAGUAGCUCCCUUAUCGUCUCUAAGGGUAUAUGUUGUCUAAUUUUCUCCAACAUAGUUACAUUAGAUACUUCGGUUGCACCAUCAUAGAGCC
RNAcentral lists this long non-coding RNA (907 nucleotides) under Salvia miltiorrhiza (redroot sage). RNAcentral describes it as "long non-coding RNA (SMIL_LNC007274)". Lineage: Eukaryota; Viridiplantae; Streptophyta; Magnoliopsida; Lamiales; Lamiaceae. The record is from RNAcentral.